GUCGAACGGUAACAGGAAGCAGCUUGCUGCUUUGCUGACGAGUGGCGGACGGGUGAGUAAUGUCUGGGAAACUGCCUGAUGGAGGGGGAUAACUACUGGAAACGGUAGCUAAUACCGCAUAACGUCGCAAGACCAAAGAGGGGGACCUUAGGGCCUCUUGCCAUCGGAUGUGCCCAGAUGGGAUUAGCUAGUAGGUGGGGUAACGGCUCACCUAGGCGACGAUCCCUAGCUGGUCUGAGAGGAUGACCAGCCACACUGGAACUGAGACACGGUCCAGACUCCUACGGGAGGCAGCAGUGGGGAAUAUUGCACAAUGGGCGCAAGCCUGAUGCAGCCAUGCCGCGUGUAUGAAGAAGGCCUUCGGGUUGUAAAGUACUUUCAGCGGGGAGGAAGGGAGUAAAGUUAAUACCUUUGCUCAUUGACGUUACCCGCAGAAGAAGCACCGGCUAACUCCGUGCCAGCAGCCGCGGUAAUACGGAGGGUGCAAGCGUUAAUCGGAAUUACUGGGCGUAAAGCGCACGCAGGCGGUUUGUUAAGUCAGAUGUGAAAUCCCCGGGCUCAACCUGGGAACUGCAUCUGAUACUGGCAAGCUUGAGUCUCGUAGAGGGGGGUAGAAUUCCAGGUGUAGCGGUGAAAUGCGUAGAGAUCUGGAGGAAUACCGGUGGCGAAGGCGGCCCCCUGGACGAAGACUGACGCUCAGGUGCGAAAGCGUGCGGAGCAAACAGGAUUAGAUACCCUGGUAGUCCACGCCAUAAACGAUGUCUACUUGGAGGUUGUGCCCUUGAGGCGUGGCUUCCGGAGCUAACGCGUUAAUUCGACCGCCUGGGGAGUACGGCCGCAUCGUUAAAACUCAAAUGAUUUGACAGGGGCCCGCACAAGCGGUGUAGCAGCUGGUUAAUUCGAUACAGCGGGAGAACCUUACCUUGUCU
This 929-nucleotide ribosomal RNA is filed under the name Escherichia coli. RNAcentral describes it as "bacterial SSU rRNA". It matches the Rfam family "Bacterial small subunit ribosomal RNA", at positions 61 to 981 of the family's 1533-position model. Lineage: Bacteria; Pseudomonadati; Pseudomonadota; Gammaproteobacteria; Enterobacterales; Enterobacteriaceae. The record is from RNAcentral.